UGAUAGAAGGAAAAUGAAUUAGGAAACUGUACAUGACGAAAUGCGAAGUCAGAGAGUCUGUUCCGUCCUUACAUAAGGCUUAAAUGGGGCUCUGAAGAUUCACAACGAUACAAUAAUACCAUGUAGAGGGAUUGUACUCCCUUGUCAGUAACAGAUUCAACGGAAGUGGAAGCGACUGCCUCGGCUCAUGUCACCAACACGUCCAACACAAGACUGAAUGUAGUAAAUACUGAAAAGCGCUGCAAAGCGUAAUCAAGUGGAUGCCAUUGUAAGUAAAAAGCGUGCAGUACAUUCUCAAAUGAAUCAGAGCAUUCCACUAGUGGACGAUAACAUCCCCGAUAUCAACACCAUGCACCUACUCCGUCCUAGUCAAAAAGACUGAAUCCCAUGUCAUCGUCAGACUCUUCCUUUUCCUCAACCUUCUCCUCCUCCUUGGCAGCAGCUGCGGGAGCAGAUGAAGACUCAGUAGCGGCAGGUGCAGCUGCUACAGCAAACUUAGAGGGGUCCUUGAGGUACUCCUUGGUCUUCUCAGCAAGAGGGAAAGAGUACUCAGUCUCCACAGCAAUAGCCAACAAGUUCUUGUACGAGUUGACGAAGGAGUGGGGGACAGCAGCCAAGGUGGGGUAGUUCAGGGCCAGUGACACUGCAGCCACAGUGGAGACACCAGCAGCGAACUUGUCCAACAGGUCGUCUUCGGUCAGGUCCAACACCUCAGGUGCGAAGACUGAACCGUUGUCGUAGAUGUUCACAACGACAAGACCGUAAGAGAAUGGCCUGAUGCCCAACUUCGCCAAAAGCGCAGCCUCGGACGAUCCGACCUUGUCACCCUUGUGGACAAGCUCGACAGGGGCGAUAAUCUCGACAGUACCCUUGUUAAUCUUGGUGGGAAUGUUAAGGACCUGGAGAGUUCAGCAUUCUAUUCGUCAGAAACCUUCAGUUAACAGCGUUUCAUAACUGCCAUAAAGAACGACAUCAGAAAAAGGACACUUGCCCACUGCGAUAAGCUAAAUUGACUGACUGGAAUCUCAUUCAUAGAACAUACCAUAUACCGAAGACCUUACCUGG
This 1065-nucleotide long non-coding RNA is filed under the name Physcomitrium patens. Its description in RNAcentral is "long non-coding RNA (PPAT_LNC000183)". Lineage: Eukaryota; Viridiplantae; Streptophyta; Bryopsida; Funariales; Funariaceae. The record is from RNAcentral.